Globicephala melas (long-finned pilot whale) is the source of this 718-nucleotide long non-coding RNA. RefSeq lists it as uncharacterized. Lineage: Eukaryota; Metazoa; Chordata; Mammalia; Artiodactyla; Delphinidae. The record is from RefSeq and is a predicted model, not a curated record.
ACUUCAUCGUUUCUCCAUUUACAGCCGUUUGCGGAACAGCGACCGUGGAAAUCUGACUCUAUUUUACAAACCAGGGCAAGUCACUCAGGGAGGCAGACGCCUGGUACAACGGCGUGCCCAUGCAUCCCCGCCGCCCAGCGCUCACCACGGAAGUGAUAAAGGUGAAAGAUGAAGCUCCAUGUGGCUACAGACCCAAGUUUUCAAACUCAACAUUGGAACAAGUCCACGGACUGUUUGAAGUCCAGGAAGCCUGGUUGUGUGGCCCCUCAGGUGUGCUGUGUGCCCUCCAGGACCUGUUCUGUCAGAGCACGGCUUUGGCCUGAUCACCACCGACAUCCGGGAGGGACAGACUUUCUACUACGCAGAGGAUUACCACCAGCAGUACCUGAGCAAGAUCCCCAACGGGUACUGCGGCCUCGGGGGCACCGGAGUGUCCUGCCCAUGGAGUAUUUAUUAUGGACCCAGAAUUCACAUGCUGGAACCCUAUCCCCCAGUGUGUCUGUAUUUGUUGAUGGGGCCACUAAGGAAGAAAUUAAGGUUAAAUGAGGUCAUAAGGGUGGGGCCCUGAUCCUAUAGGAUUAGUGUCCUUACAAGAAGGCAUAGCAGAGUGGUCUCUCUCCGUCCAUGAGCCUGUACUGAGGCCGUAAGAGGACACAGUGAAAAGGCAGUGUUCUGCAAACAGGGAAGAGAGGCCUCACCAGGAACUGGGUAGGCUGUC